Molecule: long non-coding RNA, 811 nt
Filed under: Nicotiana tabacum (common tobacco)
Lineage: Eukaryota; Viridiplantae; Streptophyta; Magnoliopsida; Solanales; Solanaceae
Description: long non-coding RNA (NTAB_LNC000707)
Source: RNAcentral
ACGAGAAGAAUGACAGCUCAACUCCUUGCAAUACCAACAAUGAUGUUGCUGACUAUCUAGCAGUUGAGGAAAAACCUGAAGAACCAGCCAUUGAGAAAAAACCUGAAGAACCAAUGGCUAAGGAGAAACUUGAAGAACCGAAUGUUGAGGAUAAACCUGAAAAAUCAGUGAUAGAGGAGAAAUCUGAAAAACUAGCAACUGAAGACAUACUUGAAGAGCGAGCAGGGGAGGAAACACCUGAAGCACUAGCAGUUGAAGAGAAACCUGACGAAUCAGCAGUUGAAGAGACAGUUGAAGAACUAGCUAUUGAACAGAAAUCUAAAAAAACAGCAACUGAAAAAGAGAAACCUGAAGCCGUAACUCUCCUGGAAAAGGUGAUCAACCACUGUCACAGGGAUUCCUUGCUCUAUAUGUGCAAGGAAUUUACAUCUACUUAUCUAUUGAAAGAUUUAGUGAAACUUUAAAUUCUUCUUGCAGAAUAUGCCAGUUGUAGAUACAAAGGACGAGAUUAACAGUGAAAUUCCAUGCAAUGCCAGCAAUGAUGUUUCUGACUAUCCAGCAGUUGAGGCAAAACCUGAAGAACUAUCCGUUGAAAAAAAAUAUGAAGAACCACCAGCAGUUAUAUUGGAGAAACCUGCAGAACUAGCAGUUGAGGAGACACCUGAAAAAACACUAGUUGAAGAGAAGCCUGAAAACCCAGCAGCACGGGAAGAAACACUUGAAGAACCAGCAUUGGAAGAAACACCUGAAGAACCAACAGUUGAAGAGAAACCUGAAGAAGUAGUAGUUGAAGAAAAACUUGAUAAACCAG